Molecule: transfer RNA, 73 nt
Filed under: Penicillium chrysogenum
Lineage: Eukaryota; Fungi; Ascomycota; Eurotiomycetes; Eurotiales; Aspergillaceae
Also listed under: 4 other names
Description: tRNA-Thr (TGT) (tRNA-Thr-TGT-2-1)
Rfam family: tRNA
About the family: Transfer RNA (tRNA) molecules are approximately 80 nucleotides in length. Their secondary structure includes four short double-helical elements and three loops (D, anti-codon, and T loops).
Source: RNAcentral
GGCUUCGUGGCCUAGUGGUUAGGGCAUCCCGCUUGUAACGGGGGGAUCACGCGUUCGAUCCGCGUCGGAGCCU